Molecule: ribosomal RNA, 516 nt
Filed under: uncultured bacterium
Lineage: Bacteria
Description: partial 16S ribosomal RNA
Rfam family: Bacterial small subunit ribosomal RNA
Source: RNAcentral
GAACGCUGGCGGCGUGCCUAAUACAUGCAAGUCGAGCGAGUCUGCCUUGAAGAUCGGAGUGCUUGCACUCUGUGAAACAAGAUACAGGCUAGCGGCGGACGGGUGAGUAACACGUGGGUAACCUGCCCAAGAGAUCGGGAUAACACCUGGAAACAGAUGCUAAUACCGGAUAACAACAGAUGAUGCCUAUCAACUGUUUAAAAGAUGGUUCUGCUAUCACUCUUGGAUGGACCUGCGGUGCAUUAGCUAGUUGGUAGGGUAACGGCCUACCAAGGCGAUGAUGCAUAGCCGAGUUGAGAGACUGAUCGGCCACAUUGGGACUGAGACACGGCCCAAACUCCUACGGGAGGCAGCAGUAGGGAAUCUUCCACAAUGGACGCAAGUCUGAUGGAGCAACGCCGCGUGAGUGAAGAAGGGUUUCGGCUCGUAAAGCUCUGUUGUUGGUGAAGAAGGACAGGGGUAGUAACUGACCUUUGUUUGACGGUAAUCAAUGAGAAAGUCACGGCUAACUAAGUG